This 503-nucleotide ribosomal RNA is filed under the name uncultured bacterium. Its description in RNAcentral is "bacterial SSU rRNA". It matches the Rfam family "Bacterial small subunit ribosomal RNA", at positions 25 to 518 of the family's 1533-position model. The record is from RNAcentral.
CAGAACGAACGCUGGCGGCGCGUUUAAGCAUGCAAGUCGAGCGGCAAGGGCCUUCGGGCCCCUAGAGCGGCGGACGGGUGAGUAACACGUGGACAAUCUGCCCCCCGGCCCGGGAUAGCCCAGGGAAACCUGGAUUAAUACCGGAUGAGACGGGACCCGCGAUGGCGGGAUCCGGGAAAGGCGCUGCGGCGCCGCCGGGGGAUGAGUCUGCGUCCCAUUAGCUAGACGGCGGGGUAACGGCCCACCGUGGCGACGAUGGGUAGCCGGCCUGAGAGGGUGGACGGCCACAUUGGAACUGAGACACGGUCCAGACUCCUACGGGAGGCAGCAGCUAAGAAUCUUCCGCAAUGGGCGAAAGCCUGACGGAGCCGACGCCGCGUGAACGAAGAAGGCCGUGAGGUUGUAAAGUUCUUUUCGGGAGGGGGAACAACCGUGGCAGGGAAUGGCCGCGGGAUGACGUGAAUCCCGGAAUAAGCCCCGGCUAACUACGUGCCAGCAGCCGC